This 421-nucleotide ribosomal RNA is filed under the name uncultured bacterium. Its description in RNAcentral is "partial 16S ribosomal RNA". It matches the Rfam family "Bacterial small subunit ribosomal RNA", at positions 360 to 773 of the family's 1533-position model. The record is from RNAcentral.
AAUAUUGGACAAUGGGGGCAACCCUGAUCCAGCCAUGCCGCGUGUGUGAAGAAGGUCUUCGGAUUGUACAGCACUUUCAGUUGGGAGGAAGGGCUUUAGGUCAAUACACUGAAGUUUUGACGUUACCAACAGAAUAAGCACCGUCUAACUCUGUGCCAGCAGCCGCGGUAAUACAGAGGGUGCAAGCGUUAAUCGGAAUUACUGGGCGUAAAGGGCGCGAAGGUGGUUCAGUAAGAUGAGUGGGAAACCCCCGGGCUUAACCUGGGAACUGCUUUGAUAACUGCUGAGCUAGAGUACGGUAGAGGGUAGUGGAAUUUCCUGUGUAGCGGUGAAAGGCGUAGAUAUAGGAAGGAACACCAGUGGCGAAGGCGACUACCUGGACUGAUACUGACACUGAGGUGCGAAAGCGUGGGGAGCAAAC